AGAGUUUGAUCCUGGCUCAGGAUGAACGCCGGCGGUGUGCCUAAUACAUGCAAGUCGUACGCACUGGCCCAACUGAUUGAUGGUGCUUGCACCUGAUUGACGAUGGAUCACCAGUGAGUGGCGGACGGGUGAGUAACACGUAGGUAACCUGCCCCGGAGCGGGGGAUAACAUUUGGAAACAGAUGCUAAUACCGCAUAACAACAAAAGCCACAUGGCUUUUGUUUGAAAGAUGGCUUUGACUAUCACUCUGGGAUGGACCUGCGGUGCAUUAGCUAGUUGGUAAGGUAACGGCUUACCAAGGCGAUGAUGCAUAGCCGAGUUGAGAGACUGAUCGGCCACAAUGGAACUGAGACACGGUCCAUACUCCUACGGGAGGCAGCAGUAGGGAAUCUUCCACAAUGGGCGCAAGCCUGAUGGAGCAACACCGCGUGAGUGAAGAAGGGUUUCGGCUCGUAAAGCUCUGUUGUUGGAGAAGAACGUGCGUGAGAGUAACUGUUCACGCAGUGACGGUAUCCAACCAGAAAGUCACGGCUAACUACGUGCCAGCAGCCGCGGUAAUACGUAGGUGGCAAGCGUUAUCCGGAUUUAUUGGGCGUAAAGCGAGCGCAGGCGGUUGCUUAGGUCUGAUGUGAAAGCCUUCGGCUUAACCGAAGAAGUGCAUCGGAAACCGGGCGACUUGAGUGCAGAAGAGGACAGUGGAACUCCAUGUGUAGCGGUGGAAUGCGUAGAUAUAUGGAAGAACACCAGUGGCGAAGGCGGCUGUCUGGUCUGCAACUGACGCUGAGGCUCGAAAGCAUGGGUAGCGAACAGGAUUAGAUACCCUGGUAGUCCAUGCCGUAAACGAUGAGUGCUAGGUGUUGGAGGGUUUCCGCCCUUCAGUGCCGGAGCUAACGCAUUAAGCACUCCGCCUGGGGAGUACGACCGCAAGGUUGAAACUCAAAGGAAUUGACGU
RNAcentral lists this ribosomal RNA (953 nucleotides) under uncultured bacterium. Its description in RNAcentral is "bacterial SSU rRNA". It matches the Rfam family "Bacterial small subunit ribosomal RNA", at positions 8 to 916 of the family's 1533-position model. The record is from RNAcentral.